Molecule: long non-coding RNA, 2577 nt
Organism: Bos taurus (domestic cattle)
Lineage: Eukaryota; Metazoa; Chordata; Mammalia; Artiodactyla; Bovidae
Source: Ensembl
CUCAAAACUACAGACGUCCUAACCAUUUAAUAGUCGGAUGGAUGGUUGGGGAGAUCAAAGAAUGCUUGAAUAUUUGGCGGGUCAGUUUCAACUCCGAUCCACUAGGGGGCGCGAAGAGACUGCUAGCGCGGGGUCCAUCCGGGGAUUCGCCGCUCUAGGCCCUAGCUCGUCUCUCAACUGCAGUUCCGCCAGCGCCCGACAGAUGGAGGGUGGGUCCUGUCUCCGAGUCGCCGGGAACCGUCCAGCAUCUUCUCACGUCGUCCAGUUUGACCUGCAGCCGACAUUCCUGGCGCCCCGGGUCAGUAUCUGAGUGUCAUCUGCUCAGUGCCUGGCAGGUGUCUGGUGCUCAGCAGCUGUGGAAUAAUUGCCCAGCAGGAGAGGACAGGACAGACACAUCCCAGUGAGGUGGCGUGGCCCAUCAUGUCACGGAGAAUCAGAGAAAGACUGCUUGUGGCCAGCCAGCCCGGGGAGAGGUGGAGGAUCCAGCUUCCAGACUCUGUACAGAGUCAUCUGAGUUUGCACAAAAGAUGAUCUGAAAAGCCGUCUCUGUGUCAGAUGCAGAUGAGCUGUUGUCCUAUGUGGAGUAAUGAACUUCUGUCCUGGGAAUAAAAGGACACGUGGUGACCGGGUGGCAUCCAGGUUGCUCAUCCAGGGCUUCUUGAUCGUUGCAGAGGAAGCAGCACGGUGCACAGGGGUCCCUGAGAGGUGUCCCCAUCCUGUCAAGAGACAGCUGGCCCAGACGAGUCCACUGCGUGCAGAGGCGUCAUGGAAGCUGUCAUGUCAGGAGCAUUCUAGACCGUGCUGUCCUUGAGAUGUUGGCUUGAAGAAAGGCAAGGUAACAUCGGAGAGCAAACCCUUGUCGUGACCUCCUGCCCUGUUGACCUCCCCAUCAUGCUGGGGGUGCUGCCUUGGAGGACACCUCGGGGAUGGGAACACUGGCCUCUCAGGAUGGUGACCCGGGUUCCAGCUUCCCUGGAGGAGCCUCCUCAUGGUUGUUCUGGGUCUGAUCACAGCCACUUGCGUAGCAGACUGAAGAGGGGUGUUGCUGCAUGACCACCGCCAGACCUUCUUCUCCUGUUGCCUCAGCACAGUAUGGAAGGGCUUGGCCCCAUGUGACCAGGUCAGGGGCCUGGGUAAGGCCUGAGACCUUGGGACCUUGGGAUUCACAGCUGGAGACCUUCAGCUGGCUCUGCCCCUGCCCCCUAGCAGGUGCCACAGGGCACAGCAGACCCAGAAGACUGGUUUCCUUCCAUCUGGACCAGGUCCUCCAGUGGCCUCCAUGUCCCCCUCUCUGCUCCUGGUGUAACUUUUAGAGCCAGGAGUUCCUGUUGGAGGCGUCUCUGCUGGGCAUCUUGUCCUCUCACCCACUUCAAUAAAUCUUGAAACAGCCCUGCCGCUUGUUUCUUUUGUUUCCUUUAAUCCCUGCCUCUGUGUGCACAGCUGGGUGGAGAGACCAUGGGUCACAGGGGCAGGUCUUCCAGUUUUCACUCACUGAGACUUUCUACUUCACACACUCCUGAGGCCUGACCUGAGGAUGGGAUGUAGAAUUGCAAAAUGCCAUGGGUUUAACCCGUCCCAAGUGCUCUGGGGGCUCAGGUUUCGGAGAGAAGGGAGCUGUUAGAAUUGUUGGCAGAGGAACGUUUGCACCAGGGCUUUGGAAGAGAGUAUGAGGGUGGGCUGGACAUAGAGAGAGUCAGGCACUGAAGUCCUCCCGGAGGGCAGGAGAGCCCUGGGGUGGAAGUACAUGUGGUGAAUUUAGGGAGACGGUUUUGAGCAGGGGUAGAAGAGGGGUACAGUAGGAAUGGCUGCCUCGGGAGGACUCUGGGGGCAUGGUGGGCAAAGGCCAGGUGUUGGGCUUAUAUAAGGGUUCACGGGUAGUCAAAAAUCCAGAGUUAGUCAAAAAUCCAAAUUGCGACUUCCUGGCGGUCCAGUGGUUAAGACCAUGCUUGCACAGGUUCGAUCCCUGGUCAGGGAGCUAGGAUCCCAUGUGUCAUGCAGUGUAGCCAAAACAAAAAAAAAACGGACAUGUUUUUGACCAUUCACCUUGUUCACUUUCAAAUUGUAAAUGAUGCUCACCCCAACCCAGCCUUUUAGGUCUGCCCUCCCCUGCCUUCUGCCACCCUUGCCCACCUGACCCUCAGCCCCAGGAGAGGUCUCCCACUGUCCAGGGAAGACACCUGGGGCCCCCUCAUGGCCCAUGGUCUGUGUCCACCCUCAUCUCACACAUCACAGUCCAGAAGCACCACAGGCCCAGCCAUGCUACCACAUAAUGUUGCUGACCACGCCGCCACUUUCCCAGCCUGUGUACACGCCUGGAAACCCCCUUUCAUUUCAGAUGCUUGCCUGACUCAGCUUGUGUCACUUCCUGCAGGAAGCCUUCACUGGCUAAACCACCACCCAGCCUGGAUUCCCUGCCCUUCCUUUCAUUCACAUCAAGUGUCAGUUUUGUGCACAGUGGGCUUCUCAGUUUCAACCCCUGGGUCAGGAAGAUCCCCUGGAGAAGGAAAUGGCUUUCAUUCACAUAAAGGGUCAAUUUGGGGCAGGCCUAAUUCUAGGAAUCAGUAAAUGGAAGAAGGC